Molecule: long non-coding RNA, 359 nt
Filed under: Citrus maxima (pomelo)
Lineage: Eukaryota; Viridiplantae; Streptophyta; Magnoliopsida; Sapindales; Rutaceae
Description: long non-coding RNA (CMAX_LNC001993)
Source: RNAcentral
ACAGGCACGAAUGAUCCAAUCAGGCGAGGUUUGGACGAUGGUGACGUGGGUGACGCGUGCAGCAACAGCGGUGUGGCGAGCUUCAACGACGGCAAGGCUUGCAGUGUGCAGCGACAGCAACGUGCUCAGGGGAGGCGACGACGGCAAGGCUUGCAGUGUGCAGCGAUAGCAACGUGCUCAGGCGAGGCUGCGACGCGAGGCUCAGGCGAGGCUGCAAGGAAGACGGCGACCGGUCGACGGCGUUACAAGCCCUUCAGAUUUGGCCGGCGUUAGAGAUUUGAAGGUUGCGGCUGCUGGUGAGUGGUGAGGUACCGUGAGGCUUGACUCUUGAGAGUGUGUGAAACUGGAUGCGAUAUUGU